GACGAACGCUGGCGGCGUGCUUAACACAUGCAAGUCGAACGGAAAGGCCCUGCUUGCAGGGUGCUCGAGUGGCGAACGGGUGAGUAACACGUGGGUGAUCUGCCCCUUACUUUGGGAUAAGCCUGGGAAACUGGGUCUAAUACUGGAUAGGACCAUGCUGUAGGUGGUGUGGUGGAAAGAUUUUUUCGGUAAGGGAUGAGCUCGCGGCCUAUCAGCUUGUUGGUGGGGUAAUGGCCUACCAAGGCGUCGACGGGUAGCCGGCCUGAGAGGGUGGACGGCCACAUUGGGACUGAGAUACGGCCCAGACUCCUACGGGAGGCAGCAGUGGGGAAUAUUGCACAAUGGGCGCAAGCCUGAUGCAGCGACGCCGCGUGGGGGAUGACGGCCUUCGGGUUGUAAACUCCUUUCAGCCAUGACGAAGCCGCUGUUGGGGUGACGGUAGUGGUAGAAGAAGCACCGGCUAACUACGUG
This 471-nucleotide ribosomal RNA is filed under the name uncultured bacterium. RNAcentral's name for it is "partial 16S ribosomal RNA". It matches the Rfam family "Bacterial small subunit ribosomal RNA", at positions 28 to 507 of the family's 1533-position model. The record is from RNAcentral.